RNAcentral lists this ribosomal RNA (388 nucleotides) under uncultured organism. RNAcentral's name for it is "bacterial SSU rRNA". It matches the Rfam family "Bacterial small subunit ribosomal RNA", at positions 526 to 896 of the family's 1533-position model. The record is from RNAcentral.
CGGAGGGUGCGAGCGUUGUCCGGAAUCACUGGGCGUAAAGGGCGCGUAGGUGGCUUCUCAAGCGCGCGGUGAAAGCCCGGGGCUCAACCCCGGGUCGGCCGUGCGGACUGGGAGGCUCGAGCACUGUAGGGGCGGGUGGAAUUCCGGGUGUAGCGGCGGAAUGCGUAGAGAUCCGGAAGAACACCGGUGGCGAAGGCGGCCCGCUGGGCAGGAAGGCUCGCAAGAGCCGGCUGACACUGAGGCGCGACAGCGUGGGGAGCAAACAGGAUUAGAUACCCUGGUAGUCCACGCCGUAAACGAUGGGCACUAGGUGCUUGGGGGAGCGACCCCCCGGGUGCCGGCGCUAACGCAUUAAGUGCCCCGCCUGGGGAGUACGGCCGCAAGGCUG